This 363-nucleotide unclassified non-coding RNA is filed under the name soil metagenome. RNAcentral's name for it is "partial contains 5.8S ribosomal RNA, internal transcribed spacer 2, and large subunit ribosomal RNA". The stretch from base 1 to 119 matches the Rfam family "5.8S ribosomal RNA", at positions 35 to 154 of the family's 154-position model. The record is from RNAcentral.
GAUGAAGAAGUAGCGAAGUGCGAUAAGUAAUGUGAAUUGCAGAAUUCCGUGAAUCAUCGAAUUUUUGAACGCAAAUUGCACUCUCUGGUAUUCCGGAGAGUAUGCCUGUUUGAGGGUCAGUAAAAUAAAAAUCGAUGUUGUUGUCAAUGAUAACGCGUCGGAAUUGAGUCGUCUUACCUUUGGUUAAGUGACUUAAAAUUUUUACGCGAAUUCGAAACGUAUUUAAUGUUUAUGUACGUUUGCGAUAUUCCAAUAUUUAUUAGGUGCGGUCAUUCCUAUGAUUCGCGUCUAUAAUUUUUCAUUUCUUGACCUCAAAUCAGGUAAGAGUACCCGCUGAACUUAAGCAUAUCAAUAAGCUGAGGA